ACGGGUGAGUAACGCGUAGACAACCUGCCUUCCAGAUGGGGACAACACCGCGAAAGUGGUGCUAAUACCGAAUGCAGUACUGAGAGCACAUGCUCAUAGUACUAAAGGUGGCCUCUAUUCAUAAGCUACCGCUGGAAGAUGGGUCUGCGUCUGAUUAGCUAGUUGGCGGGGUAGAAGCCCACCAAGGCGACGAUCAGUAGCCGGUCUGAGAGGAUGAACGGCCACACUGGGACUGAGACACGGCCCAGACUCCUACGGGAGGCAGCAGUGGGGAAUCUUCCGCAAUGGACGAAAGUCUGACGGAGCAACGCCGCGUGAGUGAAGAAGGCCUUCGGGUCGUAAAGCUCUGUUAUUAGGGACGAACGUAUCUUGUGUAAAUAAUGCGAGAUAGUGACGGUACCUAAGGAGGAAGCCACGGCUAACUACGUGCCAGCAGCCGCGGUAAUACGUAGGUGGCGAGCGUUGUCCGGAAUUAUUGGGCGUAAAGAGCGUGUAGGUGGGAUAGUUAGUCUCAUUUAAAAGAUCGGGGCUCAACCCCGUUAAGGGUGAGAAACUGCUAUUCUUGAGUGCAGGAGAGGAAAGCGGA
Molecule: ribosomal RNA, 586 nt
Filed under: uncultured bacterium
Lineage: Bacteria
Description: bacterial SSU rRNA
Rfam family: Bacterial small subunit ribosomal RNA
Source: RNAcentral